Molecule: ribosomal RNA, 361 nt
Filed under: uncultured Geobacter sp.
Lineage: Bacteria; Pseudomonadati; Thermodesulfobacteriota; Desulfuromonadia; Geobacterales; Geobacteraceae
Description: bacterial SSU rRNA
Rfam family: Bacterial small subunit ribosomal RNA
Source: RNAcentral
AGAGUUUGAUCCUGGCUCAGAACGAACGCUGGCGGCGUGCCUAACACAUGCAAGUCGAACGGAAUUGAGGUGCUUGCACUUCAAUUUAGUGGCGCACGGGUGAGUAACGCGUAGAUAAUCUGCCUGAUGAUCUGGGAUAACACUUCGAAAGAGGUGCUAAUACCGGAUAAGCCCACGGAGUCUUUGGAUUCUGCGGGAAAAGGGGGGGACCUUUUGGCCUUCUGUCAUCAGAUGAGUCUGCGUACCAUUAGCUAGUUGGUAGGGUAAUGGCCUACCAAGGCUACGAUGGUUAGCUGGUCUGAGAGGAUGAUCAGCCACACUGCGUAACUGAGACACGGUUCCAGUACUCCUACGGGAGGCA